Erinaceus europaeus (western European hedgehog) is the source of this 105-nucleotide non-coding RNA. The record is from Rfam. NCBI's taxonomy places the organism in Eukaryota, Metazoa, Chordata, Mammalia, Eulipotyphla, Erinaceidae.
GUUCGCUUUGGCAGCACAUAUACUAAAAUUGGAACUGUACAAAGAAGAUUAGCAUGGCCCCUGGGCAAGGAUUCCAGAUUAAAAAAAAAAGUUUUAAAGUGUAAA